RNAcentral lists this transfer RNA (68 nucleotides) under Coelophrys brevicaudata. RNAcentral describes it as "tRNA-Phe". It matches the Rfam family "tRNA". From Rfam's summary of the family: Transfer RNA (tRNA) molecules are approximately 80 nucleotides in length. The record is from RNAcentral. Lineage: Eukaryota; Metazoa; Chordata; Actinopteri; Lophiiformes; Ogcocephalidae.
GCAAGUGUAGCUUAGCUAAAGCAUAACACUGAAGAUGUUAAGACGGGCCUUAAUAAGCCCCACAAGCA